UUUUAGAAUGCCAUGAAGUAUAAAGAUGUACAUAUUGACUUCACUUGGGAAGAGUGGACUCUGCUGGAUACUUCUCAGAAGAAUCUCUACAAAGAUGUGAUGCUGGAGACCUAUGAGAACCUCAAUGAUAUAGGAUACUCUUGGGAAGACAAUAUUAUUGAAGAACAUUGUGCAAGUU
This is a non-coding RNA of Cricetulus griseus (Chinese hamster), 178 nucleotides long. The record is from RefSeq and is a predicted model, not a curated record. NCBI's taxonomy places the organism in Eukaryota, Metazoa, Chordata, Mammalia, Rodentia, Cricetidae.